Molecule: non-coding RNA, 73 nt
Organism: Podarcis lilfordi (Lilford's wall lizard)
Lineage: Eukaryota; Metazoa; Chordata; Lepidosauria; Squamata; Lacertidae
Source: the annotation of a GenBank genome assembly
GCAUACAUAGCUCAGUCGAUAAAGCAUGAGACUCUUAAUCUUAGGGUCAUGAGUUUGAACCCCACGUUGGACA